Long non-coding RNA from Seriola dumerili (greater amberjack), 440 nucleotides. RefSeq lists it as uncharacterized. Lineage: Eukaryota; Metazoa; Chordata; Actinopteri; Carangiformes; Carangidae. The transcript is spliced from 3 exons. The record is from RefSeq and is a predicted model, not a curated record.
GUCAGAUCAUGAAGACUCCACAGAUUGAAUUCUUUCAGUCUGCAGGAGAAUCAACAAUCACCAAGACUUCAGCUCCUGUUUCUGUGGAGCCGUGAUGACACCAGAGGACCUCUUGAACACUCUGGAAGAUCUGGGACAUGAGGAAUUCAAUAAAUUCAAGUGGUUCCUGCAGCAGCCUGACAUUACACCAGGCUUCCCAACCAUCAAAAAAAUCCAACUGCAGACGAAAAACACGUGGGAGACAGUGGAUCUGAUGGUGCAGACGUACACUCUUCCUGGAGCUGUGGAGGUGACCAGGAAGGUUUUAGAGAAGCUCAACAGGAAUGACCUGGUGCAGAGUUUGUCUGUUGGCUCAGGACCAGAAGUGGUUGUCAGUGAUGUUGGGGAGACUUCAGAGAACAGAGGACUUUCCUCCUCUCAGACUCGGGCUCCUCUUCCUC